Molecule: unclassified non-coding RNA, 338 nt
Filed under: uncultured fungus
Lineage: Eukaryota; Fungi
Description: partial contains 18S rRNA, ITS1 and 5.8S rRNA
Source: RNAcentral
AGGUGAACCUGCGGAAGGAUCAUUAUUGAAUAAACCUGGUGGGUUGUCGCUGGCUCCUUGGAGCAUUGUGCACGCUCACCAUCUUUAUCUGUCCACCUGUGCACUCUUUGUAGUCUUGGGAAAGAGAGGAGGGGCCGCGCUCUGUCAGGUAUAACAUGCCUGGAUGUGAGGACUGUUGUGCACAAGUACAGCUUUACCUCUGCGUGCAUUACCUUUUUCUCCCCCAGGUCUAUGUGGUUUCAUACACCCCUAUAGCAUGUCAUAGAAUGUAUUCAAUGGGCCUAUGUGCCUUUAUAAAACAAUUAUACAACUUUCAGCAACGGAUCUCUUGGCUCUCG